Molecule: ribosomal RNA, 491 nt
Filed under: uncultured bacterium
Lineage: Bacteria
Description: partial 16S ribosomal RNA
Rfam family: Bacterial small subunit ribosomal RNA
Source: RNAcentral
AGUGAACGCUGGCGGUAGGCCUAACACAUGCAAGUCGAACGGCAGCACAGUAAGAGCUUGCUCUUACGGGUGGCGAGUGGCGGACGGGUGAGGAAUACAUCGGAAUCUACUUUUUCGUGGGGGAUAACGUAGGGAAACUUACGCUAAUACCGCAUACGACCUACGGGUGAAAGCAGGGGAUCUUCGGACCUUGCGCGAUUGAAUGAGCCGAUGUCGGAUUAGCUAGUUGGCGGGGUAAAGGCCCACCAAGGCGACGAUCCGUAGCUGGUCUGAGAGGAUGACCAGCCACCCGGGAACUGAGACCCGUCCCAGCUCCCUACGGGAGGAAGCAGUGGGAAAUAUGGACAAUGGGCGCAAGCCUGAUCCAGCCAUACCGCGUGGGUGAAGAAGGCCUUCGGGUUGUAAAGCCCUUUUGUUGGGAAAGAAAAGCAGCAGGUUAAUACCCCGCUGUUCUGACGGUACCCAAAGAAUAAGCACCGGCUAACUUCGUG